CACUAGUAGACAAGAGGUCUUCUCUCACGAUUAGCGAGUAUCCUCUUGGAACUUGUGGCAAAAUUGAUCCUGAGAACCCCACCUGUGCAAAAAUUACCCUCACAGGAAAGGUAUGAUGGAAAAGAAAGUAUUUAUGGCAUAAUAUGUUGGUUUUUAAUAUUGUUAUUAGUCUGUAUUUGUAGUUUGAGUACAUUCGUGUACUUUCUUGGCACAAAAUGAAUUUUACUUUUGCUUCUUAUAUGUCAUGCAACAUGUAGUUAUAUCAAUAACGCUAGUUUCAGUGGGACAAAAGGCCAAAUGAUCCACAGAUUUUGUUUUUACAUUAAAAAGAAGAUUUAUUAGAAAAGAAGAUACUGGAUGCUAGAUCCAUAAAUAAUGUUUUUAUAUUGGGAUUCAAUUUUAUACUCGCUGUUUAAUCAUGUAUGAUAUAACUAUUGUUGGUAAUUCAGCAUAAAGGAAUAACCUCUACUAGACAGAUGCAUUUUCAUGAUUUUUAACCUCGUUCUUUAAUUGUUACCUCUUGAUCUUGGGGUGACCUGCACAUGAAAUUAAUCAUUGAUGAUAAUCAUAUUUGGAGGUUUUUUUUAAGGUUGAUAAAAUGGGGCUUAAUGUUUGAUGUAAACCAAACCAUUUGUCAUAAAGGUAGUAUUUUGUGUUUGCUCACAGGAAUAUUAUAAUUUUUUCCCUUUGAUAUUCGUAGAAACAUUAACUUGCAUAAAAAAACUAAUUGAUCCCUAAUAUUUAAGAUAGGUUAGGUCCUGAACAAAAUGAAAAUAUAACUGGAAUGAUGAUUGACACGGGAAGAAAAACCAUCAGAAAGUUCAGAGAACAAGGAUUUUGUGCUGCUUAGGCACAUAGGCAAGUGGAUGGGAAAGUUAGGAUUGCUAGUACUAGCCCAGAUAUCCCUUUGCAAUAGAGUGGGCUAUAGAUAGCAUUCUCUUUGGUGCUUUAUGGGAGAUCUUGAACCUGAACGUAAUCUAAAUAAGGAGGAAAACUUUAUUGUUCAGUUGUUUUGUUUACUAAUGAUUUGGACUAAUGCUGGAUAUGUUUUGGACUUUUUGGUGUAUUAGUUGUUGGUAGUCGAUGGAAAGUCAGAGGAAGCAGAAGUUGCUAGACAUGCCUUGUUCUCAAAGCAUCCAGAGAUGGAGGGUAAUGCAUAUAAAUUUACACCACCAGUGACUGGAAUAGAUGUCCCUUCUGUUUUCAUUUCUUUCUUGUGAUAACCAUCUUUUUAUUUGUUUCAUCUUAUUUCUUAACAGGCUGGCCUAAAGGUCACAAUUUUCAGAUUUUCAAGUUAGAGAUUGAAAAUAUAUUUUUGAUUGAUUGGUUUGGUGGGGCUAAACCUCUGACUGUGUAUGACUAUCUGCAUAAAAAAAUGUAAGUAGUUUCAACUGCAUGGAGAGGAUACUGCCGAAGCAUAUAUAGUCCAUGUAGUACACUUAAUAUCAGAAUAAUCCCAUGUGGGUUGUGAUUCAUUUGUUUUACCAUGUACAGGA
RNAcentral lists this long non-coding RNA (1496 nucleotides) under Carica papaya (papaya). RNAcentral describes it as "long non-coding RNA (CPAP_LNC011643)". The record is from RNAcentral. Lineage: Eukaryota; Viridiplantae; Streptophyta; Magnoliopsida; Brassicales; Caricaceae.